Molecule: ribosomal RNA, 492 nt
Filed under: uncultured bacterium
Lineage: Bacteria
Description: partial 16S ribosomal RNA
Rfam family: Bacterial small subunit ribosomal RNA
Source: RNAcentral
AGUGAACGCUGGCGGUAGGCCUAACACAUGCAAGUCGAACGGCAGCACAGUAAGAGCUUGCUCUUACGGGUGGCGAGUGGCGGACGGGUGAGGAAUACAUCGGAAUCUACUUUUUCGUGGGGGAUAACGUAGGGAAACUUACGCUAAUACCGCAUACGACCUACGGGUGAAAGCAGGGGAUCUUCGGACCUUGCGCGAUUGAUUGAGCCGAUGUCGGAUUAGCUAGUUGGCGGGGUAAAGGCCCACCAAGGCGACGAUCCGUAGCUGGUCUGAGAGGAUGAUCAGCCACACUGGAACUGAGACACGAUCCAGACUCCUACGGGAGGCAGCAGUGGGGAAUAUUGGACAAUGGGCGCAAGCCUGAUCCAGCCAUACCGCGUGGGUGAAGAAGGCCUUCGGGUUGUAAAGCCCUUUUGUUGGGAAAGAAAAGCAGCAGGUUAAUACCCCGCUGUUCUGACGGUACCCAAAGAAUAAGCACCGGCUAACUUCGUG